This 433-nucleotide ribosomal RNA is filed under the name uncultured bacterium. RNAcentral's name for it is "partial 16S ribosomal RNA". It matches the Rfam family "Bacterial small subunit ribosomal RNA", at positions 29 to 507 of the family's 1533-position model. The record is from RNAcentral.
AACGAACGCUGGCGGCAUGCCUAACACAUGCAAGUCGAACGAGACCUUCGGGUCUAGUGGCGCACGGGUGCGUAACGCGUGGGAACCUGCCCUUAGGUUCGGAAUAACUCCCCGAAAGGGGUGCUAAUACCGGAUAAUGUCUUCGGACCAAAGAUUUAUCGCCUUUGGAUGGGCCCGCGUUGGAUUAGCUAGUUGGUAGGGUAAAAGCCUACCAAGGCGAAGAUCCAUAGCUGGUCUGAGAGGAUGAUCAGCCACACUGGGACUGAGACACGGCCCAGAAUCCUACGGGAGGGAGCAGUGGGGGAUAUUGGACAAUGGGCGAAAGCCUGAUCCAGCAAUGCCGCGUGAGUGAUGAAGGCCUUAGGGUUGUAAAGCUCUUUUACCCGGGAUGAUAAUGACAGUACCGGGAGAAUAAGCUCCGGCUAACUCCGUG